This 200-nucleotide ribosomal RNA is filed under the name uncultured bacterium. RNAcentral's name for it is "partial 16S ribosomal RNA". It matches the Rfam family "Bacterial small subunit ribosomal RNA", at positions 30 to 230 of the family's 1533-position model. The record is from RNAcentral.
AUUGAACGCUGGCGGCAUGCCUUACACAUGCAAGUCGAACGGCAGCACGGGAGCAACCCUGGUGGCGAGUGGCGAACGGGUGAGUAAUACAUCGGAACGUGCCCAAUCGUGGGGGAUAACGCAGCGAAAGCUGUGCUAAUACCGCAUAAGAUCUACGGAUGAAAGCAGGGGACCGCAAGGCCUUGCGCGAAUGGAGCGGC